Non-coding RNA from Biomphalaria pfeifferi, 543 nucleotides. NCBI's taxonomy places the organism in Eukaryota, Metazoa, Mollusca, Gastropoda, Planorbidae. The record is from the annotation of a GenBank genome assembly.
UAAAAAAAAAAAGUGUUUUCUUUUUUCAAUUACUAAGUGUUGAUCUGCUAAUUCAGUAAUUGUAUGGAUUUUGUUGUCAGUAAAAUUGUUUUCCCUUUUUUCUUUUCAUCAUAAAUGUUUUGUUUCACUAAAUAACUCAUUACUAUUUGUUUUCUGAUCUCUUUGUCCUAGUCAUGGUCUAAUUAAACUGUAUUAUCAUUAUUGCAAGUAGCAGAAAUAAUUGUUUAACCAAAAGACAAGGUAUUAAUAUUUUAUUCAUUUUCAAUUAUCAUUCUUGUUAUAGUAUAAAGUAAAAAGUUCACAGUCACCCAAUGCCAGAGAUUAAUAAUCAACUUCUGCAGUUGAAUAACUGCUUUUGGUAUGUUUUAAGACUGUUAUUUUCAGUGCAAUAUUUUGUUUGGCUUGUUAAAUGAGAUAAAACUUCCUGUUGUCUGACCACUGAGUGAGUUAAAAGCUAUGCCAGAUUGUAACCUUCAUCUAUUAAUGUUGGUUUACAUUUCUCCUUCAAUAAAUGAUAUUAAAAUUAGUUUGACCUUCAAUUCA